CGCUUCUUCUUUGGAAAAAUAUAAUGUCUCUGCCUGUUCUGAAUAUGCCCCCGCCUGUACUAAAAACUCAUCCAUAAUGAAAAAAGUUUGCAGAAUAAAUUGUAUGAAAUUGGCUACUAUGGCUUUAAAUUGCUGGAAUACUCAGUACAGCAAUAUGUAAAUACAAAAAAUUUUUUUCUAUAUUGGUUGGUGCAUAGGUUGGGGUGAAAUGAGCCCACACCCCUACAUACAAAGAAAAAAGCACUAUACCUUGCACUCAAACUCCAUGUGUCCAAACCGGGUGCACUCCCAGGGCUCCAAAUAUCCAAAAAGCUGAAUCAAUAGGUUGCACUCACGGAUUCUUAAAACAUAGCUUUUAUUGUAUACUCCUAAAAAAAUCGACGUUUCAGUCCUGUUCAAGGACUUUCAUCAGGAUUAUAAAGACAUAACAUAACAAUUCAGCCAUAUAUAGGAUGCAGUAAAUUAC
Pelobates cultripes (western spadefoot toad) is the source of this 466-nucleotide non-coding RNA. The record is from the annotation of a GenBank genome assembly. NCBI's taxonomy places the organism in Eukaryota, Metazoa, Chordata, Amphibia, Anura, Pelobatidae.